GUUUUUUAACAUCUCUUGCCAAUUGAUUCAUAUACCUCAUAACUCAGCCAUGCAUCCUAAGUAAUCCUGUGUUUUUCAGUGACCCUCAAUAUGGGGAAAUGUAAAAAAUAUUAUUAUUUAAAUUGCAAAGUUUAAAUUCCUUUUAAGAAAAAUUUUAGGUAAAGAAAGAUGCUACCUCUCUGAAUCCAGAAACUGAACUGUUUGGAGAAGACACCAUGAAGAUGCCUCCAGACCACAACCUGCAGGAAAAGAUCAAGAAUGAACUUUCAGUGUGGUUGAUUGAACAUUUAUUUGUAUUUAUACUUUCAUGCCAAAGGGGACUGCCCCUUAACUGGCUUUUUCAAUGUGUCCAGUGAUUAUUGGUUUUGUUCUUUUUUAUCCUCUUAUCAUCAAAUUAUUGUAAUCUUUAAAUUGAUUAUGUUUUCAUGAUCCUUUGGGGGAAAAUUUUUUUUUCUCAACCAGUAUCAUACGGUGAAAUGUAAAAAUGGAGAUUUGAACCCCAGACUUCAAUCCCCAGAAGUCCUUGCUAGCUCCCAGAAUUCUCUCUAAUCUCCCUGAGGACAAGAUCACAAAUUAUUAUUUAAAGGAGCUUUCCACCUACUGAGCUCUCUUCCUACUUCCACUGUGGAGCACACACGGCUCUCCACCUAGCAGGCAAGAUUCAUGGAAGUCCAUUGGCAAGACAAAAGUCAAGAUAACUAAUGAUAGCUCAGGAUGUACUGGAUGACCUUGUAGUCUUUCCUGUCUGACCAAGCUCUAAGUGCUCCACAGAGACUGCUUCAGUUGCCUCUAUGGCCGUUGGAACAAACUGUUCUAUUCUACCCAUUCCACUGGAGGAAAUCUUCACAUGCUUGAAGCAGACAUUUCUGUUUCACUAAUGUGUUUAAGACCUAUAGGUUACCUUCAACUUGAUUUAGCAUGUCUGCCAAGAUAGCUUUACCAGGAUAUGGUUGCUGUGCAUGCUACAGCUUCUUGGAAACACAGAUCGCUCCUGCUCCAGCUGGCCACCUCAGCUCCGGGCCAGCUCUUACUCCUUGCCUCUCUCUUGCUCACCCUGCCCAUCUGAUCCUGACCCCAGCAACUCUGGCCUCUGGCCUCCGACCCAGAUGCCUCAUCACCCUAGGCCAAGCCCCAGGACCCAGACUGCUGGUAGCAGACCCAAUUUCUUCAGGAUCACAAACCAGCUGUGGAUCAUGGGCAGAUAUGAAGUGGAAAUGGAUCUCAUUUUUGGAGCCAGUGCCAAGCUGAGGAAGCCUGAUCCUGAUCUGUUAUGCAAGUGGUGCACAUUACUUAAUAAAUCAAUGUGCUCAGAAGCUUGAGCCUUUUUUUCCUUAUUUAUUUUAGAUUUCACCCAUCACAAAAUUGACUAGCUUAUGUCACACUAAGGUAUUUAUUCCUAUUCACUCAACUUCAAGUCAAUUGAGCAAACAUUUAUUAAGAGGCCGUUAUAUGCAAGGUUAAACAUAUAUAUAUAUAUAUAUAUAUAUAUAUAUAUAUAUAUAUAUAUAUAUAUAUUCUAGGGUAGCUCUCCAGCCUCUGACCCCCACCUGACACCCAGCUCUCACUUGUGGCUCCUAGUAGCUGCUAGCAUGUGGCAGUGGCCACACCCCGGGCAACAGCUUCGACAGGCAAGGCUAAACCUUGUGAGAGUAGCCAUCGGGUUGUCGACCCCUGGUGAACCAGGGCUUUGCUCACCCAGCAUGUGAAGACUGCUUUGACUGAACAGACAGAAGAAACCAAUAAGAAGGUUCAACAGCUGAGAUGGU
Molecule: long non-coding RNA, 1766 nt
Organism: Monodelphis domestica (gray short-tailed opossum)
Lineage: Eukaryota; Metazoa; Chordata; Mammalia; Didelphimorphia; Didelphidae
Source: Ensembl